UUACGGCCACAUCACGUUGAAACACCGGUUCCCGUACGAUCACCAAAGUUAAGCAACGUCUAGCGUGGUCAUUACCUAGAUGGGCGAUCGCCUGGCAAUGCCAGUUGCUGUAA
Non-coding RNA from Acanthosepion pharaonis, 113 nucleotides. The record is from the annotation of a GenBank genome assembly. NCBI's taxonomy places the organism in Eukaryota, Metazoa, Mollusca, Cephalopoda, Sepiida, Sepiidae.